RNAcentral lists this ribosomal RNA (677 nucleotides) under Vibrio cholerae. RNAcentral describes it as "partial 23S ribosomal RNA". It matches the Rfam family "Bacterial large subunit ribosomal RNA", at positions 1213 to 1874 of the family's 2925-position model. Lineage: Bacteria; Pseudomonadati; Pseudomonadota; Gammaproteobacteria; Vibrionales; Vibrionaceae. The record is from RNAcentral.
UCUUUUAGACAUUGGGUAGGGGAGCGUUCUGUAAGCCGUUGAAGGUGGAUCGUAAGGUUUGCUGGAGGUAUCAGAAGUGCGAAUGCUGACAUGAGUAACGACAAAGGGGGUGAAAAACCUCCUCGCCGGAAGACCAAGGGUUCCUGUCCAACGUUAAUCGGGGCAGGGUGAGUCGACCCCUAAGGUGAGGCCGAAAGGCGUAAUCGAUGGGAAACGGGUUAAUAUUCCCGUACUUCUGACUAUUGCGAUGGGGGGACGGAGAAGGCUAGGUGGGCCAGGCGACGGUUGUCCUGGUUCAAGUGCGUAGGCUUGAGAGUUAGGUAAAUCCGGCUCUCUCUAAGGCUGAGACACGACGUCGAGCUGCUACGGCAGUGAAGUCAUUGAUGCCAUGCUUCCAGGAAAAGCCUCUAAGCUUCAGAUAGUCAGGAAUCGUACCCCAAACCGACACAGGUGGUCGGGUAGAGAAUACCAAGGCGCUUGAGAGAACUCGGGUGAAGGAACUAGGCAAAAUGGUACCGUAACUUCGGGAGAAGGUACGCUCUUGAUGGUGAAGUCCCUCGCGGAUGGAGCUGACGAGAGUCGCAGAUACCAGGUGGCUGCAACUGUUUAUUAAAAACACAGCACUGUGCAAAAUCGCAAGAUGACGUAUACGGUGUGACGCCUGCCCGGUGCCGGAA